Molecule: long non-coding RNA, 1573 nt
Organism: Chinchilla lanigera (long-tailed chinchilla)
Lineage: Eukaryota; Metazoa; Chordata; Mammalia; Rodentia; Chinchillidae
Source: Ensembl
AUGGCUCCGCCUUCUGAGCCUGGCCCCGGGGCUGCUGUCCCUCUGGUUCCAGCAUGGCCCCUUCAAGAGACACACCCCUGCACACCCCUGAAGCACCUGUCCCCAAGGGUCCUGCUUCCUCCUCAUCUUCCUCCAAGAAUACAAGGUUCCAACUGCUCCAGCUCCCGGUGUCUCCAAAGCCCGGGACCUGAGCUCCAGCACAGAAAGAACUCAGCUCACUUACUGGCUGGCUUUCUAACACCAGCUCCCAUGACAAUGAACCCACUCUCUCAGGAGCCACACUGGCCCUUCAGGAGAACAGAGUUGGUGGUCCUGACUGCCUCUCACCACCAUUACAGUGGGGACCAGCCUCCGCGUGAGUUUGAUGAGGCGGAACCAUAGCAGAGACGGUGGUUACUCUCGGGGGAGCAGAAGAGCAGAAGAACCGGAGGAGGUGGAGUCUGAGAUGCAGCACAGGAAGCAGCGAGGGGUUAGGGUCAUCCUUAGCUCUCCAGGCUGAAAAAAGCCAGCGGGCAGGACAUUCAUAAAGCGUUGCACAGCUCAGGGCAGACAGUACCAGUCUGCCACUCAGGAGACCUGAAUUUUUUCUUUUUUCUGACUUUGAAUCCCUGUGUGACUGAGGGCUGGUUACUAACCCUCUCUGAACUCUGCUUCUGCAUCCAUAGGAUGACGAAUCUGAGCUAGAAAGUGUCAAAGGCCCUGUGAUGUGGCUGAGUUGGUAGAGUGUUGAGGCUUUAGCAAGGUAAGGCUAGAAACACUUUUUAAAGCUCAUGCCAAAGCCAGGCGUUGUGGCGCAUGCCUGCAAUCCCAGCACUCGGGAGGCUGAGGCAGGAGGAUCAUUGUGAGUUUGAGGCCAGCCUGGGCUACAAAGUGAGUGCUCAAGGCCAGCCUGAACUGCAUAGUGAGAUCCUGUCUCAAAAAGACUAAAUAAAAUAAAAUAAAAUAAAAUAAAGCUCAUGCCAGGCAGAAUGACCCAGAAGAAAAAACAAAAUCCUUGGAGUUAGAUGAUCCUGGAUUCUUAUCCUAACUGUACCUUGUACUAGGCCCAAUGUUAGUCAGUGUCUUAACUUUCCAAGUCUAAUCUCCUUCAUUAGCAAAUGGAGGCUACUGAUACUUCUUUCAUAAGAUGUUGGAUUGAAAUAAGAAAAUCUAUCUCGGUGUACCGGUACAUGCUCAUAAUCCUGGCUUCUUGGGAGGCUGAGGCAGGAGGAUCACAAGUGUGAGGACAGCUUGGGCAACAUAGGAAGAUCCUGUCUCAGAGUGGGAGACGCAGCUCAGUGCAGAGGCCCUGGGUUUAAUUCCUGGUAUGGCAAGAGAGAGAAAGAAACCAGGAAGGAAGCAGGAAAGGAGGGAAGGAGGGAGGGAGGGAAGAGGGAGAGAGGGAGGAGGGAAGGAAGGGAGUUGAAUUCUUCUAUUUUACGGGAACCCACUCCACAAGGUACUGACAUAGCGAGGUGUGGUGGCACACACCUAUAAUCCCGGGCCUCGGGAGGCUGAGGCAGGAGGAACACUGUAUUCUGGGCUACACAGCCUGGACUAUAUAAUGAAAUCUUGUCUCAAAAAAAAAAAAGCU